Molecule: long non-coding RNA, 560 nt
Filed under: Pongo abelii (Sumatran orangutan)
Lineage: Eukaryota; Metazoa; Chordata; Mammalia; Primates; Hominidae
Description: lincRNA
Source: RNAcentral
AGAUUGGAACACAACACCACAGUAAGGAAAGCCCGAUGUUGCCCACAUGCUCCACGGAGAAACCCGCCAGGGGCACGUUGGGACGUUGGGAGUGUGAGCCCUGGAGACAGUGAUGUGGCAGGGAUCCAGGUUCUCCCAGCUGCCGGCCACAGGGCUCUCCCCAGGGGUCCUGAGUUUCCUCAAUGGCAUUCUAAUCCAUGAGUGUUCAGAGAGGGCAGGAGGGCUCCGCUACCCGGCGCCUUCCGACCAGCAUCUGGAAAAGGAUAGUCAGAAACACAGUGAAAAUUACGCCUGCAACCCUGGCAGGCAGGGAAGCACUUAAUAACUUACGUGGGUGUCAGGGCAAGGGAGCCGUCCGCAGACCAGUGUUGUGAUGGACCGUUCUCCACCAUGUGAUGUUCAUUUUCUCCACUGAGAUUAAAAAAGAAGAGGAAAGGAAAGGAAAGUGCGUAACCUUGAAAAGACAGCUCCUCCUGCCGAAAAUGUGUUGCAGACUCGGUCAGUCAGGUGGACUUAAUUGGAAGGCACUUUCUUUUUGAUGGAAAAAGAAGGAGAAAGAU